AGCAGCGAAUUUCCCCUAACGAACAGCGUCAGUGUUUUGUAGUUGCUGAAUGCCGUUUCUUCAAACGAUUUCAAUUCUUAUUUUGGUCUCUUUAUGGUGGUGACUUAUUAGCUAUGCCGGUCAAUUGGCGGCGGCGCAGCAAGUAAUGAGGGGGAAAGAAUUCCCAGACGCGCAGGCGCAAGAAGCUUCACUUCUCACAAAAACACAAAAAUUAAUAACUUUGGGCGGAUGAUCGCAAUUCUGAUCAGUUGUGAAGUCGAGCUCAAACAGUGAAGUACGCGAGUUGGUGGCCAGAAAAAAUAAAUAAAAUAAAAGAAUGCUGUCAAAAGUGCAAGAACACACAUAGAAUUCAUAGAAUUUUUUAAGAAGAUUUAAAAAUAUAUUUCGAAAUAUUAGAAUUUUACUACUGCGGUUUAGCAUUUGAGUCAAGCUAAAUAUGUUUUAUUUAACUUUCAAUUGGCCGAGCAAUUGGAAACGAACGGGAGCCGAAUUUCAGUUGCGAUCGCGUAACGAACGUUUAAUGAGCUGCGGGGUUAAGACCUUCCACAGCAAAUACGCGAUAGUCGUUAUCGCCGCAAGCCUGCGUUGGCGCUCACAGUACGGUCCAGCCGGCGCUUGGCUACACUGCCUGCCGGCACUAGUCGCUUAGUUGUGUCAGCUGGCCGGUGCUGCGUUGGCGUUAUCGUCUCGUAUACACUUUUUUAGUUUCCACACGUGAUAGCAACAGAUCAAAUACCAAUAUCGGAUAUUAUAUUAUGGGAAUUUUGCUAAUAUUGAGCGAAACCAAGCCGAAAUUUGGACUCAGAUGAUUUACGACAUAUGGUAGCAAUCUUCUAAAAUAUCUUAAAAGAGUUUGAGUGAUUAAAUUAUAAAAAUUAAGUGAAGUGAAGCAUUGAAGUUCAUAAUAUUAACACUAAUAUCGCUUUUCUAAGUACUAGUGCCGCAGGAGAUAGUUCAAACGACAUAUAGUAGACCCCUGCUGCCCCAGUGCUUAUCAAAGCGUUUCUAGUGUCAACUAAUUACCGUUAUAAAAGUGAAAAUUUUGAUGAGAUCAACAGAGGGAAGUGCAUAAGUGAAACAAACAAACAGUAUUUUUGUGAUACUAUUUGAAAGUGAAUGGUUAAUGAUGAAUAGAGUAGUUCAGUGGGAGAGAGCUCAUAUAUCAUUCUGGUGUAUCAAAAAAUUGGCUGCAACGAAAUAGCUACUUUCUUAAAAUCUAUUUCAAAAACUCCCAGUGUUUUCAAAAACAAACUUUUGUGGAUAAUAUUAAAAUAAAAACCCACCGAUCGGAAGUGAACCACGUCUAGGGCUGGAACAUGGUGUAAGUAUGGUCAUCUAUUGAAAUUACAAAAACCGAUGUGGAGGUAAAAUGGUUUAAAUUGAGAACUUAUUUCUUCACAAUAUAAAUAUUCACUUACUACAGCAACCUUGGUGUUUGUCCCAACAAUUUGAGAUCUUCUUAACUUUGUUUUCAAAUUAACCAAAUUUAAAUUUCUCUCACGUCCGAAACUAGUUAAAACGUCUACACAUUUUAGCCGAAGCGCAAAGGAACAAUAACAGCGCAGUAAAGAAUGCGUCAAGGAUGGGAAAACUGAGUGAUUUCAUGAGAAGAAUUUCUAUCUUGUUUAUGGUGGAAGGUCGACCUAGCCUACAACUACCAUAUGGCGCGAAAUGUGAUUGAUUCAAUAUGAUAAAGCUUGAAAUGCCGACGUUUGGAGGCAUGCAAUUUCGUUCCAGAGCCCAGCCUGAGUCGUAUCAAUCAAGUCGUAGUAAUCAUCAAGAGUGCGCUUUUUUUCUUUAACAUCUAAAUAAACCCUCCAAAAUACAUAACAUAUUUCAAAUGGAAGGUGUUUCAAAGCCUUUAAAAAAGAAAAGCUCAUAUUAAAACUUCUUUAAAAGAACUAUAUACAUUUUUUUUAAAUUUUAUUGGAAGUUUAUUGCUCUUUUAUUGCUUUAUUUAUUAUUUAUUUAAUAAUAAUUAAUUUCUUUUUA
Long non-coding RNA from Zeugodacus cucurbitae (melon fly), 1992 nucleotides. RefSeq lists it as uncharacterized. Lineage: Eukaryota; Metazoa; Arthropoda; Insecta; Diptera; Tephritidae. The transcript has 3 exons. The record is from RefSeq and is a predicted model, not a curated record.